Molecule: long non-coding RNA, 237 nt
Filed under: Hordeum vulgare
Lineage: Eukaryota; Viridiplantae; Streptophyta; Magnoliopsida; Poales; Poaceae
Description: long non-coding RNA (HVUL_LNC004761)
Source: RNAcentral
CCACAAGUUGGCAGGAUGGGUUUAGGGGCUAAGGCAAGGCUGUUGGACAAGAGGGUUUGGCGAGGAGAGAAACUCCAUAGUGCAGACUAAAGCCCAUGCCCAAUCUGCUUAUGAACACAAGGUGUUUGACAGUUUGUCGGUGCCAUCAAAUGGACUUUGCUACCAACCAAAAUCUCCACGUAUGAGUCUCUCUAGAUGUUAUCCAUGAUGGUGGGGUUGUUUUGAGAAAAAGUGAAA